This 253-nucleotide ribosomal RNA is filed under the name uncultured bacterium. Its description in RNAcentral is "partial 16S ribosomal RNA". It matches the Rfam family "Bacterial small subunit ribosomal RNA", at positions 524 to 776 of the family's 1533-position model. The record is from RNAcentral.
AACGUAGGACGCAAGCGUUAUCCGGAGUUACUGGGCGUAAAGGGCGUGUAGGCGGCGCUGCAAGUUCGUCGUGAAAGACCCCGGCUCAACCGGGGGAGGUCGAGGGAGACUGCGGCGCUGGAGGACGGUAGAGGGACAGGGAAUUCCGGGUGUAGUGGUGAAAUGCGUAGAGAUCCGGAGGAACACCAGUGGCGAAGGCGCUGUCCUGGGCCGCACCUGACGCUGAGCCGCGAAAGCCAGGGGAGCGAACGGG